This 64-nucleotide microRNA precursor is filed under the name Bombyx mori (domestic silkworm). RNAcentral describes it as "mir-2774 microRNA precursor family". It matches the Rfam family "mir-2774 microRNA precursor family". The record is from Rfam by way of RNAcentral. Lineage: Eukaryota; Metazoa; Arthropoda; Insecta; Lepidoptera; Bombycidae.
ACAACAUUUGGACCGUCGGUCUACCGAGCAAUACCCGCUCGGUGGAAGAUGAUCCCUUUGUCGU